This 280-nucleotide long non-coding RNA is filed under the name Linum usitatissimum (flax). RNAcentral describes it as "long non-coding RNA (LUSI_LNC003084)". Lineage: Eukaryota; Viridiplantae; Streptophyta; Magnoliopsida; Malpighiales; Linaceae. The record is from RNAcentral.
UUUGAGGGGCCGCGGAUCUCACUCGAGUUAGGAACGUCGAUUUGGAAGGUUGCCGAAGGGCCCUGAUGUUGGAUUGUUACAGCCACGCUGCUGCAUUUGUGGUGGAUUCUUCUUCUUCUAGGUGUAUUAUGAAACGAAUGCCGCUGGUCAACGGCAGACUUACUUCUUCCACUAAAGGAACCCCGUCAAGAUUACUACUGUGUUGCUACUAAUCUCGCCUUGUAUCGUUCCACUGAUCCAUCAAGUUUAUAUUUUAUCUUGAAUACCCAUUUGCUGCCAA